UUUAAUUUCAGGACCAUCAGUUUUUAAUGCUGUACUAUCAAUCUACAGAAAGUAGUGGGAACGUUGAAACUACUUACCAUAUGUCAGACAUGAAAUUUCUCCCAUAUGUCAUGUAUUCAAUUUAGGUCACUUUCAUUUCCAUGAAUAAGAACUGAUUUAAAAGGAUUCAUUUAUAUAGCAUUUUCUCUGCCUCAGUUUUCCAAUUGCAUGCAGUUACUGAACUGCAGCAUGGGUGCUUUUAGGCCAGGAAGGUCAGCUGCCCAAUUAACCCCUGCUGAGUUGAGUGGAGAGGCGGGAAAUGACUAGGUUGGACCUUAACGGCUUCCUAUAAGAUGGGUUUGGCCAUUGAUUCAACAUGCUCACUUGACUGAAAAGCUACCGACAAAGUCAGACCGCAAAACAAGAGCCAGACACUCAUCUGGCCCAUCAGCCAACUGUGGCACUGGCGUGUCAGAC
Acanthopagrus latus (yellowfin seabream) is the source of this 456-nucleotide long non-coding RNA. RefSeq lists it as uncharacterized. The record is from RefSeq and is a predicted model, not a curated record. Lineage: Eukaryota; Metazoa; Chordata; Actinopteri; Spariformes; Sparidae. The transcript is spliced from 3 exons.